RNAcentral lists this ribosomal RNA (253 nucleotides) under uncultured bacterium. Its description in RNAcentral is "partial 16S ribosomal RNA". It matches the Rfam family "Bacterial small subunit ribosomal RNA", at positions 524 to 776 of the family's 1533-position model. The record is from RNAcentral.
UACGUAGGGGGCAAGCGUUAUCCGGAUUUACUGGGUGUAAAGGGGGCGCAGACGGCGAUGCAAGCCAGGAGUGAAAGCCCGGGGCCCAACCCCGGGACUGCUCUUGGAACUGCGUGGCUGGAGUGCAGGAGGGGCAGGCGGAAUUCCUGGUGUAGCGGUGAAAUGCGUAGAUAUCAGGAGGAACACCGGUGGCGAAGGCGGCCUGCUGGACUGCAACUGACACUGAGGCUCGAAAGCGUGGGGAGCAAACAGG